GCUGCCAGCUUCGUCACACCUGAUCAUCAUCAUCACUGCCAGACCUCUGUGUCACACUGGCGCCGCGAGUUGCUAUCAAGCCACCACAAGCAGGACCCGAUGCAAAGAGAGAGACAGAACGACGCAAGGAGAGAGAGAAGGCAUUGCAGGGUGGUUUCUGCCGCCGCUGCUUUCUCCGCCAUCGCCGUCUGAGGAGCUCGCCACUGCCGGAGUCACGAGCUGAAGUGGGGGAGAAGGCCAUCUUCCCUGUGUUGUUGCAGUCAUUGUGCUGCUACUGCUACGCUUCAUUUUAUUUUUCAUUAAUUACUCUGUGGGCUCUGAUGGUUGAUGCUCUUUAAGAAUCGUUGCUGCUGGGGUGACUGAAAUUGCUACUGCUAGUUCUAACGUUGCUACCGUUGCUGUUGACUUGCCCUAAUUUAAGUUCAGUGUCACUGCCCUAGAAUUGUUUCUGCAUUUGAUUCCAUCAAAUUUGAUGUUGCUGCGAGUGUAAUCGGAGUUGGUGAUGUUGCCAUCGUCUCGGUUGUGUUGG
Non-coding RNA from Arachis ipaensis, 529 nucleotides. NCBI's taxonomy places the organism in Eukaryota, Viridiplantae, Streptophyta, Magnoliopsida, Fabales, Fabaceae. The record is from RefSeq and is a predicted model, not a curated record.